RNAcentral lists this ribosomal RNA (497 nucleotides) under uncultured bacterium. Its description in RNAcentral is "partial 16S ribosomal RNA". It matches the Rfam family "Bacterial small subunit ribosomal RNA", at positions 28 to 507 of the family's 1533-position model. The record is from RNAcentral.
GAUGAACGCUGGCGGCGUGCCUAAUACAUGCAAGUCGAGCGAACAGAUAAGGAGCUUGCUCCUUUGACGUUAGCGGCGGACGGGUGAGUAACACGUGGGUAACCUACCUAUAAGACUGGAAUAACUCCGGGAAACCGGGGCUAAUGCCGGAUAACAUUUAGAACCGCAUGGUUCUAAAGUGAAAGAUGGUUUUACUAUCACUUAUAGAUGGACCCGCGCCGUAUUAGCUAGUUGGUAAGGUAACGGCUUACCAAGGCAACGAUACGUAGCCGACCUGAGAGGGUGAUCGGCCACACUGGAACUGAGACACGGUCCAGACUCCUACGGGAGGCAGCAGUAGGGAAUCUUCCGCAAUGGGCGAAAGCCUGACGGGGCAACGCCGCGUGAGUGAUGAAGGUCUUCGGAUCGUAAAACUCUGUUAUUAGGGAAGAACAAAUGUGUAAGUAACUGUGCACGUCUUGACGGUACCUAAUCAGAAAGCCACGGCUAACUACGUG